RNAcentral lists this ribosomal RNA (585 nucleotides) under Triticum aestivum (bread wheat). Its description in RNAcentral is "partial small subunit ribosomal RNA". Lineage: Eukaryota; Viridiplantae; Streptophyta; Magnoliopsida; Poales; Poaceae. The record is from RNAcentral.
AUGCAAGACCAAGUUGUGAACUAUGAAAUAAGCAAGUUCCAAAGCAGAGAGGGUUCCUCUGCAAAGAAGCUUGCUAGGACUUGCCAAAACUUUGACUACAAUCCUGUGGCUUGGUGGAGAAUGUAUGGAGGUGAGACACCAGGGUUGAAGGACAUGGCUAUGAAGAUCCUUUCUUUGACCUCAAGUUCUUCCGGUUGUGAGAGAAAUUGGAGUUGUUUUGAGUCGAUACAUACCAAGAGGAGAAAUAGACUUACAACAGAUCGCCUCAAUCAGCUUGUGUACAUCCAGUUCAACUCAAGGCUGUUAUCCAAGAAAAGAAAGAUCAAGUAGAGGAAGAACAUCGAUGUUCUCCUCACUACUGAUGCAUCUGAAGCACAAGGCUUCUUGUUUGAGGGAGGAGAUGAUCAUGCUUUCAUGGUGUUUCCAGAUGGAGAUGAGGGAGCAGAUGGCAUACCUUGGAGUGUGGUUGGAGAUGCUAUGGGAACCAGUGAACAACUUGAGCUUCGUCGAAGUGCAAGGGUUAGAGAUCUCCAUGAUGAAGAGUUUGAUUCAGACGAAGAAGAAGUAGAGGAGACAGAUUCAUAG